Molecule: ribosomal RNA, 275 nt
Filed under: uncultured bacterium
Lineage: Bacteria
Description: partial 16S ribosomal RNA
Rfam family: Bacterial small subunit ribosomal RNA
Source: RNAcentral
AUACCGAGGUGGCAAGCGUUGUUCGGAAGUAUUGGGCGUAAAGAGCACGUAGGUGGAUUUGUUAGUCAGAUGCGAAAGCCUUUUGUUCAACGGAAGAAUUGCAUCUGAAACUACAAACCUUGAGUAUAGGAGGGGAGAGUGGAACUUCUGGUGGAGCGGUGAAAUGCGUAGAUAUCAGAAGGAACGCCGGCGGCGAAAGCGACUCUCUGGCCUAUAACUGACACUGAGUGUGCGAAAGCUAGGGGAGCAAACGGGAUUAGAUACCCGAGUAGUCC